Molecule: ribosomal RNA, 443 nt
Filed under: uncultured bacterium
Lineage: Bacteria
Description: partial 16S ribosomal RNA
Rfam family: Bacterial small subunit ribosomal RNA
Source: RNAcentral
CCUACGGGUGGCCGCAGUGGGGAAUAUUGGGCACUGGGGGCACGCCUGACCCAGCACCGCCGCGUGAAGGAAGAAGGCUUUCGGUUUGUAAACUUCUUUUCUCAGGGACGAAGGAAGUGACGGUACCUGAGUAAUAAGCCACGGCUAACUACGUGCCAGCAGCCGCGGUACUACGUAGGGGGCAAGCGUUAUCCGGAUUUACUGGGUGUAAAGUGCGUGUAAGCGGGACUGCAAGUCUGAUGUGAAAGCCACGGGCGAAACCUUUGGACUGCAUUUGAAACUGUAGUGCUGGAGUGCUGGAGAGGCAGACGGAAGUCCUAGUGUAGCGGUGACAUGCGUAGAUAUUAGGAGGAACACCAGUGGCGAAGGCGGUCUACUGGACAGCAACUGACGCUGAGGCGCGAAAGCGUGGGGAGCAAACAGGAUUAGAUACCCGUGUAGUC